Brassica oleracea var. oleracea is the source of this 589-nucleotide long non-coding RNA. RefSeq lists it as uncharacterized. The record is from RefSeq and is a predicted model, not a curated record. Lineage: Eukaryota; Viridiplantae; Streptophyta; Magnoliopsida; Brassicales; Brassicaceae. The transcript has 3 exons.
CAAGAAAUUCAUUUAUAUAAUUUAACCUUAAUUGGUUCAUGCGUAGGGAAACCAUUGUGGACUUAAGGUGUGAAUUAUUUGAGAAUUAAUUCUUGUUAAAUCCUGACCGAAGAAGUUUGUUGGACAAAUCCCGAGUGUUUUCUCAACAUGGCUAAGAUGAGACUGACGAGCAGGAGUGAUUGCUAUCGGGUUGGUGCUUUGGGAGUCCUAUUUCAUUUAUUUUUCAGACUUGCGGUUUUAUGCUUUUAUCGAUAUUUUUGGGAUUUAUUACGUUAUUUGGAUUUAUGGCUAUUUAUUUGAUUUAUGGUGUUUGGAGACGAUUCAUGAAGAUUAAUAAAUGAGAAUUUCACGAUUAUUAUUUUUAUUAUUUAUUUCGGAAAAUACGGGUGUUACACAUUUUCGCAACUCAAAAGCAACUUUCACGUAGGGCAAAAGUGGUGGUGGAUUCCAUUUCAAGCAGAUCCACGGGAGGCGAAGUACGCCAAAGGUCCAACGAAGGGGGCGUUGAUGGUUUGGGUUUUGCGUGUGGUAAAAUUGGAAUCCCUCGGUGCAAUUGAAAGGUUUGAAAGAAGUACUUGUGAAGGAAGCG